Molecule: long non-coding RNA, 1314 nt
Organism: Cucurbita maxima (winter squash)
Lineage: Eukaryota; Viridiplantae; Streptophyta; Magnoliopsida; Cucurbitales; Cucurbitaceae
Exons: 4
Source: RefSeq, a predicted model, not a curated record
ACUCUUAUAAUAAUAAUAAUAAAAGUAAUUGAAAACUAAAUAAAAACAAUUUAAUUGCCCGCCAUAGCUAUCAAGAAUUCCCACCAUGCCUUCAGCCCCAACGCCUUUCGUCUCCUUGUUCGUUACACUCCAGCUCAGGACCUCUUCGAUUCCCGCCUUCAAGGUGAAGUUGCCAUCCUCUUCUUCUUCUUGUUCUUCUUUUUCUUAUUCUUCUCUAAUUGCGAUUGCCUUUUCGGAAAUGUUAUGGAGUUUGAUUGUUCGAACUUUCUGCUUCGGAAGCGAUAGCGUCUGUUGAAAACUUCAUUGCAUCUGCCGAUUAGAGUGCGGAACAAUUCGGAUUAAAUUAAGCAUACUGACUUUUUGUUUUUCCUCUAGAUAAUCGUGUGUAUGUUUAGGGAAGAAGGAGAAGGAAAGUGCUUCUUCUUUACUCCUGAAGUUAACAGCAACUUUUUCCUACCUACUCAAUAAAGAAGGAAAUUGGGAACUUUUCCCCCUUUUCGAAAUCACUUUAACCAGGACUCACGGCCAAGAACUUCUAGCACGGAAAAUCUGCCUAAACUGUUGGAAGACAUUAUGCAGACUUUCAUUGUGAGAUUCAACACCAGUUGGAGAGGGAAACAAAGUAUUUCUUACACGGGUAUGGAAAUCUCUGUUUAGUAAACGCGUUUUAAAAUUUUUGAGGAGAAACCCAAAGAGCAUGCUAUCUACUAGCCUUGGUCUUGGGCCAUUGCAUCCAUAAACACAGGUCCAAGUGGUCCCAAGCCUAGUUCAAGCAUUUAUUGGAGUUGGUUGAGAGUGGCCUGCAGAUGUGCGCAGGUAUUGUUGGGUGUAUAUCUCCAGAAACAUGGGCUGCGAUGGACGUAUUUUUGGCAUCAAUUUCAUCUGAAGAUUAUGAACCAAUGGCAUCUGCCCUCAUCCAAAUGGGUGCCACGAAUAAUGACGUCAAUGCUGUGGCCUUUCCCGAGAUCUUGGCUCCUUUUGGAAUUUGCUUUUAUUUGAUUCAUUCAAAUUAACUAAAAAAACAUGUUAGUUUUCUAGAAGGUCAUUGAAGUGAGGAUUUGGAUACUGAAAUAGCGAUAGGAAGGAAAGAUUCAACUGCUGUUGCUGCAAAUAUACUCGUAGACGAGAGGCAAAUGAACAAACUUUUGUGUUCGUAGCCGACAAAGUUCAUAAACUUCAGGGUACACAGUACAGGUAUGCUUUUGCAUAGAACAUCAGUCCUUAGUCUAUAUAAUCAGAAAGUUUGCGUUAUAGAACCAUAAGUAUUGAAUACUUCUGAAUAAUGAUCACUAGUAAAAUGGUCCUUCCUUGCAA